This 253-nucleotide ribosomal RNA is filed under the name uncultured bacterium. RNAcentral describes it as "partial 16S ribosomal RNA". It matches the Rfam family "Bacterial small subunit ribosomal RNA", at positions 524 to 776 of the family's 1533-position model. The record is from RNAcentral.
UACGUAGGGUGCAAGCGUUGUCCGGAAUUAUUGGGCGUAAAGAGCGUGUAGGCGGCCCGACCAGUCCGCUGUGAAAGUCCUGGGCUCAACCCUGGAAUGCCGGUGGAUACUGUCGGGCUAGAGUCCGGAAGGGGCGAGUGGAAUUCCUGGUGUAGCGGUGAAACGCGCAGAUAUCAGGAGGAACACCAAUGGCGAAGGCAGCUCGCUGGGACGUGACUGACGCUGAGACGCGAAAGCGUGGGGAGCAAACAGG